This is a long non-coding RNA of Lacerta agilis (Sand lizard), 1061 nucleotides long. RefSeq lists it as uncharacterized. The transcript is spliced from 2 exons. The record is from RefSeq and is a predicted model, not a curated record. Lineage: Eukaryota; Metazoa; Chordata; Lepidosauria; Squamata; Lacertidae.
AUGUUACUUAGGUUGUAAAUUCUACAUGAAAUUUGUUCUUUGUGAAAUGAAGUAUUAUUACACCUUCCAGCUUAGGUUUUGAUUACUAUUCAGAGAGUUGGUUGUUCAUGUGGUUGCUAUACGUAUUUUGAAAACUUUGGGAGUUUUCCACCCAACCCCCUUUCCAAAGAGGUUGAAACAUUGCCAUCCUUUCCUGAUGUGGAGCCUUUCCCUGGUUUUCUUGACCUAGCAGCAAAGUGUUUUCCCCCUUAAGUGUGGGAACCAUAAAGGUAAAUCUUCAAGGUUAGGGAGGAAGCUGUCGUUUUAUCCUGAUAGAACUAAACUGCUUUUCCAGGUAAGCCUCUGACUCCAUUGGUAUGACUCCUGAAGUAGGCUUGGCAACAUGUUCAGCAUAAUGUGUGGAAAAAAUCACUGUUUAUUGAUUGGGGGUGGGGAAACAGAUUCUGAAACCUCCUUUGUUUUGCUGUAAAUGUUCACCUUUCCUGCAGAGAGGACCUGAAUGAGUUUAACCUGUUGUCUCCAGUCCUGAGAAGUAGUGGAAUUUCUCUGUUGCCCCAGCAAGUGCUGCAACCUGCAAAGAGGAUUUUGCUUGUCUUGGCUAAGUUAGAAAAGGUGUUGCUGCCGUUCCCUGGAAACACCGAAGAAUGCAAAAAUGUACACAGAGGUUCCCUGUCCCUGAGUUUCUGUGAGAUUCCAUGGGUUUUGUACACCAAAGACUUUUAAAACACUGAGCCAACAAUCUUGAUAUACUUGAACAAAACAAAGCACUUCGUUGCACUGUGGACUCUGCUGGAGAAGGGUUUUAAGAGACUGACACUGGACUUGUGCCAAAUCAUUUGGGUCUAAAAAUUGGAUAGAGCUUUCAAUGAUUCAGUGUACUGUUCUCUGUCUUUAUGAAUCUAACCCCAGGAUUUUCUGCACUAUGUGAAAACCUGAAGGCUGCUUCUUCUUCACACACCCCACCCCCUGUUUCUUGGUUUGCAUUGUGGUGAUACAUAACUGUGCCAUCUACAGAUCUGUAUUGUUAAUGCCAAUAAAAUAAAGGUGCUGUGUUAUAUGAA